RNAcentral lists this long non-coding RNA (622 nucleotides) under Callithrix jacchus (white-tufted-ear marmoset). Lineage: Eukaryota; Metazoa; Chordata; Mammalia; Primates; Cebidae. The record is from RNAcentral.
AACCCUAUUUUGGCAUAUCUUCUUCUUCUUCUUUUUGGUUUUUGUCUAACAUGGAAGCAGCCAACGCCUCUCUUGACCUCUGAAAGCCCUAUGAAAACCUGAAACCAAGGCAAGGUGACAAAGUCUGGUCAUUCAGCCCUGAGAGCCUCCUCAGAUUACUUCUUUACUUAGAAAAACAAAACGUUGUUGCGGAAGAUUCAGAGCCACAGAUAUUCUUUCUGGGCCUGCUGGUGAGAAUGGGAUGUGCCUCCACUCUGAAGUGAGCAAGGGUACUGGUUUUCACCCCGUGCAGUCAACCUGAGGAUCAGAGAGAAGGCCUGAAAUGGAAACCAAUGACUUCAUUUGUUGCUGAUCCACAGCAACAGUGAUGGACUCUAACACUGGAGGAAAAUCUGGCUGCACUGGAUUUAUGAAGAGCUGGUAAAGAAGGUAUUAAUCCUGACUACUACUAUACACUGGACAACUCAAGGGAUUUUUCCAGAGUAAUAUUCAUAGAUCAGAUGCAAUUUUCAUUUGACAUAACCGUAAAAUACAGCUUUUGGUGCUAGUUUCAGCAGCACAUAUACUAAAAUUGGGAUGAGACAGAGAUUAGAAUAUCCCUGCAUAAGGAUGACAUGCAGAG